This is a long non-coding RNA of Ictalurus punctatus (channel catfish), 723 nucleotides long. RefSeq lists it as uncharacterized. The record is from RefSeq and is a predicted model, not a curated record. The transcript has 2 exons. Lineage: Eukaryota; Metazoa; Chordata; Actinopteri; Siluriformes; Ictaluridae.
CCAUCUGUUAAGAGGCUGCUCCAAAGUUCAGCUUGGAUUCACAAGCCCCGGGAGUUCUACCAGGCUGCCUACUGCUCCUGACCGCUGGAUUGUGGUGUGUGUGUGUGUGUGUGUGUGUGUGUGUGUGUGUGUGUGUGUGUGUGUGUGUGUGUGUGUGUUUGUAUAAGCCUUCUUCUUAAAUCUUCUGAUCCACAUACCGACUCCUGCCUCCAGCAUACAUACAGGCAGCGCCGCCACCAUGGUCAGACUGGCUAAUGAAAUCUGUGACAGUGCAUUAACGAGGCCGUUUGUUUCAGCUCAAGUUCAGUUCUUGUUUUCUUUUCUUUUUUUAACUCUUGCCUCAGCCAUCUCUGUGUUUGCAUAUUAUUUUUCUCCCUCUUCACUUCCCUGAUACUAUUUAAAACGUCCAUUUAUGCAGCAUUUUAUUUACUCCAGUUGAUAUUAGUCUAAUAAAACAGUAACAAAAACUGGAAACUGCUAUGCGUUUAAGAGUCUGUGAAAGGAGGAUAUUCUGUACAGCUUUACAGUUUACUAGAUUUGAGGCUUUAUGCUUUGGAGCACCUAGUGAAAGGAAUCAACAUAUACUACAGAUUGUGGUUAGUAAAAAAGUUUUCCUUGGAGAUCUGUGCAUAGCUAAUAAUAAAGUUUAAGUUUUCAUCUUUGUGAGAACUAAACUGUUCAAUAGUAUUUGAGUUAUGAACCAAUUCUGGUAGAUUCAUCUGG